Molecule: ribosomal RNA, 253 nt
Filed under: uncultured Lachnospiraceae bacterium
Lineage: Bacteria; Bacillati; Bacillota; Clostridia; Lachnospirales; Lachnospiraceae
Description: partial 16S ribosomal RNA
Rfam family: Bacterial small subunit ribosomal RNA
Source: RNAcentral
UACGUAGGGGGCAAGCGUUAUCCGGAUUUACUGGGUGUAAAGGGAGCGUAGACGGCGGUGCAAGCCAGAUGUGAAAGCCCGGGGCUCAACUCCGGGACUGCUUUUGAAACUGUGUGACUGGAGUGCAGGAGAGGUAAGCGGAAUUCCUGGUGUAGCGGUGAAAUGCGUAGAUAUCAGGAGGAACACCAGUGGCGAAAGCGCUUUACUGGACCAUUAUUGACGCUGAGGAACGAAAGCCAGGGGAGCAAAUGGG